GUCCCCGUAGCUCAACGGAUAGAGCGCACGGUUUCUACCCGUGUGAUGUUGGUUCGAUUCCAGCCGGGGACACCA
This 75-nucleotide transfer RNA is filed under the name Candidatus Uhrbacteria bacterium. RNAcentral describes it as "tRNA-Arg". It matches the Rfam family "tRNA". From Rfam's summary of the family: Transfer RNA (tRNA) molecules are approximately 80 nucleotides in length. Their secondary structure includes four short double-helical elements and three loops (D, anti-codon, and T loops). The record is from RNAcentral. Lineage: Bacteria; Candidatus Uhriibacteriota.